Molecule: ribosomal RNA, 354 nt
Filed under: uncultured bacterium
Lineage: Bacteria
Description: bacterial SSU rRNA
Rfam family: Bacterial small subunit ribosomal RNA
Source: RNAcentral
AUUGAACGCUGGCGGCAUGCUUUACACAUGCAAGUCGAACGGUAACAGGCCUUCGGGUGCUGACGAGUGGCGAACGGGUGAGUAAUGCAUCGGAACGUGCCCAAUCGUGGGGGAUAACGUAGCGAAAGUUACGCUAAUACCGCAUAAGCCCUGAGGGGGAAAGCAGGGGAUCGCAAGACCUUGCGCGAAUGGAGCGGCCGAUGUCAGAUUAGCUAGUUGGUGGGGGUAAAGGCCUACCAAGGCGACGAUCUGUAGCGGGUCUGAGAGGAUGAUCCGCCACACUGGGACUGAAACACGGGCCAGACUCCUACGGGAGGCAGCAGUGGGGAAUCUUGGUCAAACUCGUGUGACUGU